AGUGAACGCUGGCGGUAGGCCUAACACAUGCAAGUCGAACGGCAGCACAGUAAGAGCUUGCUCUUACGGGUGGCGAGUGGCGGACGGGUGAGGAAUACAUCGGAAUCUACUUUUUCGUGGGGGAUAACGUAGGGAAACUUACGCUAAUACCGCAUACGACCUACGGGUGAAAGCAGGGGAUCUUCGGACCUUGCGCGAUUGAAUGAGCCGCUGUCGGAUUAGCUAGUUGGCGGGGUAAAGGCCCACCAAGGCGACGAUCCGUAGCUGGUCUGAGAGGAUGAUCAGCCACACUGGAACUGAGACACGGUCCAGACUCCUACGGGAGGCAGCAGUGGGGAAUAUUGGACAAUGGGCGCAAGCCUGAUCCAGCCAUACCGCGUGGGUGAAGAAGGCCUUCGGGUUGUAAAGCCCUUUUGUUGGGAAAGAAAAGCAGCAGGUUAAGACCCCGCUGUUCUGACGGUACCCAAAGAAUAAGCACCGGCUAACUUCGUG
This 492-nucleotide ribosomal RNA is filed under the name uncultured bacterium. Its description in RNAcentral is "partial 16S ribosomal RNA". It matches the Rfam family "Bacterial small subunit ribosomal RNA", at positions 29 to 507 of the family's 1533-position model. The record is from RNAcentral.